This 87-nucleotide transfer RNA is filed under the name Clostridium botulinum. Its description in RNAcentral is "tRNA-Leu". It matches the Rfam family "tRNA". From Rfam's summary of the family: Transfer RNA (tRNA) molecules are approximately 80 nucleotides in length. Their secondary structure includes four short double-helical elements and three loops (D, anti-codon, and T loops). RNAcentral also lists the same sequence under 29 other names. Lineage: Bacteria; Bacillati; Bacillota; Clostridia; Eubacteriales; Clostridiaceae. The record is from RNAcentral.
GCCGAAGUGGUGGAAUUGGCAGACGCAACGGACUCAAAAUCCGUCGCUGGCAACAGCGUGCGGGUUCAAGUCCCGCCUUCGGCACCA